GAUGAAGAACGUAGCGAAAUGCGAUAAGUAAUGUGAAUUGCAGAAUUCAGUGAAUCAUCGAAUCUUUGAACGCACAUUGCGCCCCCUGGCAUUCCGGGGGGCAUGCCUGUCCGAGCGUCAUUACAACCCUCAAGCUCAGCUUGGUGUUGGGCCCCGCCGCCCCGGCGGGCCCUAAAGUCAGUGGCGGUGCCGUCCGGCUCCGAGCGUAGUAAUUCUUCUCGCUCUGGAGGUCCGGUCGCGUGCUCGCCAGCAACCCCCAAUUUUUUUCAGGUUGACCUCGGAUCAGGUAGGGAUACCCGCUGAACUUAAGCAUAUCAAUAAGCGGAGA
RNAcentral lists this unclassified non-coding RNA (328 nucleotides) under soil metagenome. RNAcentral's name for it is "partial contains 5.8S ribosomal RNA, internal transcribed spacer 2, and large subunit ribosomal RNA". The stretch from base 1 to 120 matches the Rfam family "5.8S ribosomal RNA", at positions 35 to 154 of the family's 154-position model. The record is from RNAcentral.